RNAcentral lists this unclassified non-coding RNA (192 nucleotides) under uncultured Glomeraceae. RNAcentral describes it as "sequence contains ITS2". The record is from RNAcentral. Lineage: Eukaryota; Fungi; Glomeromycota; Glomeromycetes; Glomerales; Glomeraceae.
UAAAUAAAAAUCGGGGUUGUUGCUGUGGUGACGCCUUCGGAAUUGGGUUAUCUUUGCCUUUGGUUAAGCGACCUAAAAUUUUUUACGAUCCUACGAACGUGUUUUAAGAUAUUUUCUCUUAUACGUUCCACGGUAUCGAAUCCUACUAGAUGUGACCGCCGUGUCGGUCUUCACAUCUAUAAUAAUAUCAUC